CUCAGGACGAACGCUGGCGGCGUGCCUAAUACAUGCAAGUCGAGCGGACAGAUGGGAGCUUGCUCCCUGAUGUUAGCGGCGGACGGGUGAGUAACACGUGGGUAACCUGCCUGUAAGACUGGGAUAACUCCGGGAAACCGGGGCUAAUACCGGAUGGUUGUUUGAACCGCAUGGUUCAAACAUAAAAGGUGGCUUCGGCUACCACUUACAGAUGGACCCGCGGCGCAUUAGCUAGUUGGUGAGGUAACGGCUCACCAAGGCGACGAUGCGUAGCCGACCUGAGAGGGUGAUCGGCCACACUGGGACUGAGACACGGCCCAGACUCCUACGGGAGGCAGCAGUAGGGAAUCUUCCGCAAUGGACGAAAGUCUGACGGAGCAACGCCGCGUGAGUGAUGAAGGUUUUCGGAUCGUAAAGCUCUGUUGUUAGGGAAGAACAAGUACCGUUCGAAUAGGGCGGUACCUUGACGGUACCUAACCAGAAAGCCACGGCUAACUACGUGCCAGCAGCCGCGGUAAUACGUAGGUGGCAAGCGUUGUCCGGAAUUAUUGGGCGUAAAGGGCUCGCAGGCGGUUUCUUAAGUCUGAUGUGAAAGCCCCCGGCUCAACCGGGGAGGGUCAUUGGAAACUGGGGAACUUGAGUGCAGAAGAGGAGAGUGGAAUUCCACGUGUAGCGGUGAAAUGCGUAGAGAUGUGGAGGAACACCAGUGGCGAAGGCGACUCUCUGGUCUGUAACUGACGCUGAGGAGCGAAAGCGUGGGGAGCGAACAGGAUUAGAUACCCUGGUAGUCCACGCCGUAAACGAUGAGUGCUAAGUGUUAGGGGGUUUCCGCCCCUUAGUGCUGCAGCUAACGCAUUAAGCACUCCGCCUGGGGAGUACGGUCGCAAGACUGAAACUCAAAGGAAUUGACGGGGGCCCGCACAAGCGGUGGAGCAUGUGGUUUAAUUCGAAGCAACGCGAAGAACCUUACCAGGUCUUGACAUCCUCUGACAAUCCUAGAGAUAGGACGUCCCCUUCGGGGGCAGAGUGACAGGUGGUGCAUGGUUGUCGUCAGCUCGUGUCGUGAGAUGUUGGGUUAAGUCCCGCAACGAGCGCAACCCUUGAUCUUAGUUGCCAGCAUUCAGUUGGGCACUCUAAGGUGACUGCCGGUGACAAACCGGAGGAAGGUGGGGAUGACGUCAAAUCAUCAUGCCCCUUAUGACCUGGGCUACACACGUGCUACAAUGGACAGAACAAAGGGCAGCGAAACCGCGAGGUUAAGCCAAUCCCACAAAUCUGUUCUCAGUUCGGAUCGCAGUCUGCAACUCGACUGCGUGAAGCUGGAAUCGCUAGUAAUCGCGGAUCAGCAUGCCGCGGUUGAAUACGUUCCCGGGGCCUUGUACACACCGCCCGUCACACCACGAGAGUUUGUAACACCCGAAGUCGGUGAGGUAACCUUUUAGGAGCCAGCCGCCGAAGGUGGGACAGAUGAUUGGGGUGAA
RNAcentral lists this ribosomal RNA (1481 nucleotides) under Bacillus subtilis. RNAcentral's name for it is "bacterial SSU rRNA". It matches the Rfam family "Bacterial small subunit ribosomal RNA". Lineage: Bacteria; Bacillati; Bacillota; Bacilli; Caryophanales; Bacillaceae. The record is from RNAcentral.